RNAcentral lists this ribosomal RNA (820 nucleotides) under uncultured bacterium. RNAcentral describes it as "bacterial SSU rRNA". It matches the Rfam family "Bacterial small subunit ribosomal RNA", at positions 62 to 900 of the family's 1533-position model. The record is from RNAcentral.
UCGAGCGAUGAACUUCUUCGGAAGUGGAUUAGCGGCGGACGGGUGAGUAACACGUGGGCAACCUGCCCUAUAGAGGGGAAUAGCCUUCCGAAAGGAAGAUUAAUACCCCAUAAGAUUGUAACUUCACAUGGAGCAGCAAUUAAAGGAGCAAUCCGCUAUAGGAUGGGCCCGCGGCGCAUUAGCUAGUUGGUGAGGUAACGGCUCACCAAGGCGACGAUGCGUAGCCGACCUGAGAGGGUGAUCGGCCACAUUGGGACUGAGACACGGCCCAGACUCCUACGGGAGGCAGCAGUGGGGAAUAUUGCACAAUGGGGGAAACCCUGAUGCAGCAACGCCGCGUGAGUGAUGACGGCCUUCGGGUUGUAAAGCUCUGUCUUUGGGGACGAUAAUGACGGUACCCAAGGAGGAAGCCACGGCUAACUACGUGCCAGCAGCCGCGGUAAUACGUAGGUGGCAAGCGUUGUCCGGAUUUACUGGGCGUAAAGGGAGCGUAGGCGGACUUUUAAGUGGGAUGUGAAAUACUCGGGCUCAACCUGAGUGCUGCAUUCCAAACUGGAAGUCUAGAGUGCAGGAGGGGAAAGUGGAAUUCCUAGUGUAGCGGUGAAAUGCGUAGAUAUUAGGAAGAACACCGGUGGCGAAGGCGACUUUCUGGACUGUAACUGACGCUGAGGCUCGAAAGCGUGGGGAGCGAACAGGAUUAGAUACCCUGGUAGUCCACGCCGUANACGAUGAAUACUAGGUGUAGGGNUUGUCAUGACCUCUGUGCCGCCGCUAACGCAUUAAGUAUUCCGCCUGGGGAGUACGGUCGCAAGAUUAAAAC